Molecule: ribosomal RNA, 468 nt
Filed under: uncultured bacterium
Lineage: Bacteria
Description: partial 16S ribosomal RNA
Rfam family: Bacterial small subunit ribosomal RNA
Source: RNAcentral
GACGAACGCUGGCGGCGUGCUUAACACAUGCAAGUCGAACGGAAAGGCCCUGCUUUUGUGGGGUGCUCGAGUGGCGAACGGGUGAGUAACACGUGAGUAACCUGCCCUUGACUUUGGGAUAACUUCAGGAAACUGGGGCUAAUACCGGAUAGGAGCUCCUGCUGCAUGGUGGGGGUUGGAAAGUUUCGGCGGUUGGGGAUGGACUCGCGGCUUAUCAGCUUGUUGGCGGGGUAGUGGCUUACCAAGGCUUUGACGGGUAGCCGGCCUGAGAGGGUGACCGGCCACAUUGGGACUGAGAUACGGCCCAGACUCCUACGGGAGGCAGCAGUGGGGAAUAUUGCACAAUGGGCGGAAGCCUGAUGCAGCAACGCCGCGUGCGGGAUGACGGCCUUCGGGCUGUAAACCGCUUUCGCCUGUGACGAAGCGUGAGUGACGGUAAUGGGUAAAGAAGCACCGGCUAACUACGUG